CACGACGUUGUGAUUUAUUUAGUUUGUUGUGUAUGUUUUUUUCCUGCUCGUUUGUUAUGUUGUAUUUGAGGUUGUUGCGUUUAGUGUGAUGUUUUCGUUUUCCUCGUUUCUUGUGUUGUGAUUUGGUUAUGAAUUUUUAUUUUUAUUAAACGUGGUAUGAGUUUUUGUGCUUUACGUUGAUUUGUGCUCGAAUGUGAGCAACACAAACGAGUUAUAUUUAAUUUACCGUAUGUAGCUCAGAGACAUAUGCAUAAGGUAGAAGACACGAGAAGAAGAGAAAAAGAGUUUGUUUAUUUACCUGGUCCAUCAUUUGUUCUUGGUGACUGAAUUUUCUCCUGAAGUUUUGUUUCUGUUGUUGCUC
Arabidopsis thaliana (thale cress) is the source of this 361-nucleotide long non-coding RNA. RefSeq annotates it as other RNA. The record is from RefSeq. The transcript has a single exon. NCBI's taxonomy places the organism in Eukaryota, Viridiplantae, Streptophyta, Magnoliopsida, Brassicales, Brassicaceae.